GUUUCAGGAAAAAAAAAGAGAGAGAAGCAUUGAUUUUCAUAGAAAUGUGCCAUGUAACAUCAUGAGACAUCUAUUUCAUUUAUUAAACAGAAUACAUAGAAUCUCAUGCCAAUGCCAGACAUAUGGGAAUCCUAUCUGAGAGCUUUUCAAGGUCAAGAACCAUGUCUUGAUCAUACCUGUUUUCCCUAGUUCCUAGUACAGAGUAGAUAUAUGAGAAAAUAAGCCUUGCAAUUGAACUUGUUUGAUUAAUAAAUAUGAUAGCUGACAUGUAUAGAUUACUUACAAAAUUUCAGAUAACAUUCUGAGGUAUUACUAUUUUUCCUGUUUCGAUUAUGAAAACUGAGGCACAGAGAGGUUAAGUGACUUGCACAAGUUCACGCAGCUAAUAAAUGCCAAAGCCAGAAAUUUAAUGUAAGCAUUUAGGUCUUUAGUCUAUGCACUUGCCAUAAGCAAUGAACCUCUAGUACAGAACAGUGAGGAUAAUAUACUGCAGGUCUUCUACCUCCAAGGGAGUAAGACCCCGAAUGGAUGUGGAAGAAGUUAAUGCAGAAGCUCCCUGGGCACCAUGUAUUUUCUAGAAGCACUGGAGAACAAGCUGCAAUCUCUAAGCUCUUGCUACUAAAUCGUGGUGAACCAGCAGCAUCGGAACACCAGGGAGCUAAUUAAAAAUGCAGAAUGAAUGAAUCUGCACCUGAUGAGUCAUUCUGCACCUAAUGAAUCAAACUCUGCUUUUUGACAAGAUCACAGGUAAUUCAUGUACAUAUUAACGUUGAGUAGCACCACUCUAAAAAUAUUACCUAGACCAGUACAGUCCAAUAAAACUUUCUGCAAGGUAGAAAUGUUCUAUCUCUACACUAGUAACUAGCCACAGGUAGCUAUUACACUCUUGGGCCACAUGGCUAUUAAGCACAUGUGACUAAUACAGCUGAGGAAGUGAUUUCCUUAUGUUCUUUGGAUAAACUUAGAUUUAUUCAUUUAUUUAUCUAAUUUUUAAUUUUUUUUUAGAUGAGUCCCACUCUGUCACCCAGGCUGGAGUGCAGUGGCUCAAUCUCAGCUCACUGCCUCAGCCUCCUGAGUAGCUGGGAUUACAGGCAUACACUGUCAUGCCUGGCUAAUUAAAAAAAUUUUUUUUUUUUUUCCGUAGAGAUGGGGUUUUGCCAUAUUGGCCAGGCUAGUCUCAAAUUCCUGACCUCAGGUGAUCCACCCACCUCAACCUCCCAAAGUGCCAGGAUUAUAGGUGUGAGCCACUGCAUCCCACCAAACUUGGAUUUAAAUAGCCUCAUGUGUUUAAUGGCUACCAUUUUAGAUAGUAUAGGUUCUAGAUUUAUUGUUCUCCUCUGUUUAUUUCUCUGUGAUCCAAUAAUCUGUGUAAAGUUAAGAGUCCAAUCUUGAAACAGCUGUUAUGGAAAUGCAGUGGAGGAUUUUGUUUCUCCUCCUGACUUGGAGUGCAUCAUAGGAAGCGUGGAAUCAUAGCACUGAAAGCAUUUCAUGAUCUGGCCAAUCCUGUUCCAGGCCUGGCACACCUAUGUGCUUCUUCAGCAAUCUGUGCAUUUUCCUAUGCUUAGUAUUUAGUGUCAUCCUCUGCUUACCAAACUGUAUUCAAUGCCAACUGCAAGCUGUCCAAGCCCACAAUAAAACCUUAUUAGAAAACAUAAUAUAACCUUCAGGGCACCCUCAGGCAUAAGUAAGAGGAAAAUACUGUUCACUGGAAGCACGCCUUGCCCACCUUCUCAUUUUAAAUUAGCAUCCUCCUCUUCCACACUCCUUAGCUAUUUUCCAUGCCUUAUUUUGCUCUGUACCAUUUGACACAUAUUUGGAAGGAUAGAAAACCUUUUUCCUCUACCCUCCUAGGUUCUCUGGCUACGACCCUGCAAAUUAGACUGACACAAUUUAUAUUCACAGGAGAGAAACACAGUUUCUUAACACAUGAGAGAAACCUGAUGAUGAGUAACUCAAAGGAGUGGUUGAAAUUUGGACUUACGUAGCAUCUUAAAGAGCAAUAAAUUUGUAGAUAAAUGCUUAGACAAAGGAUAAAGUUUUAGGUUUCUUAGGUCUCCCGGGUUGGCAUCUGUGGGAAGGUAAGCAAAUGGGGAAACUAACAGUGUAAAGCUUGUUUAUUCAGUUACAUCUUGGUACUCACAUUCUGUCCUCUUCACAGCCAUGAAACUUCCCUGGGGAAGGUACGGUUGGGGGUGGGAUUUACAAAAGUCCUCAUUUCUCAGAAGUUUCCACUUUUAGUUAGAGAAGGCAAACUCUAGGAAGGCUUCUUUCUGCAUCUAUUGAAUCACAGAUGCCUCCAGCAUAAAGUAAUAUUUGUGCCAAAGUGACACAUUUUGGAGUGGCAUAUUUUGAUCCACUCUACAUGCUAUAUAUAUAUCUUUUUUUAAAGUUUAUUUAUUUAAUUUUUGAGACAGGGUCUUGCUCUGUCACCCAGGCUGAAGUGUAGUGGUGUGAUCAUAGCUUACUGUAGCCUCAAGUGAUCCUCCCACCUCAGCCUCUAAGGUAGCUGGGACCACAGUCACGUGCCAUCGUUCCUGGCUAAUUUUUUUGAGUUUUGGUUAAAAAAAAAAAAGGUCUCACCAUGUUCCCAUGCUGGUCUUGUACUUCUGAGCUCAAGAGAGUUUCCUGCCUUGGCCUCCCAAAGUGUUGGGAUUACAGACAUAAGCCACUGUGCUUGGCUUACAUAUUUUACUAGCUUAUUUGUAUGGCUUCAUUUCAAUGAAAGCUUUAUGAAGGCAAAUACUAAGUGUUUGAGAUAGAAAAAUAGACAUUCCAAUGGUUUUGUGUAUCUAGUUAUAUAGUAACAGCUACCAUAUAAUUAAGUUCCUGAUGUAUGCCAGGACCAUUCAAAGUACUGAACAAACAUAUCAUUUAAUUUCCUCAACAACCCUGAGAGAUCUGUGGUAUUGUACCCAUUAUUUUAGAUAAAGAAACUGAUAGUCAUAAAAAGUACAACCACUUUCCUAUUUGACUUCAACUGUUAAUUAUUUAAUUCGCUAUAGCCAUAUUAGAAAUAAUUGGGAUAACAAAGAUCUCUUAAUAGGAGGCACUGGAGCUGAUAAUGCUAAUAUCCAGAGAAAAGAAUCUGAUUAUCUUGGAAAGAGGUAUCUUCAGAGGCUAUUAACAUACAGCACUCUGUACUGACUUAUGCUUUACUUGGGGAAAAUUCAAAUUAAACUUGAUUGUCUCUUCUGCUGCUUCUUUUCUCCAUAUUAAUAGUUUAAUCUGCAUAGUGGGUGUUGGAUGUGCACCUUACGGCUGUUUAUAGCAAUUGGUGAAGUACUUAACAUUUUAAAGAAAUUAACUGUCUGGUGAAGAGGACUCCAGAGGACAGAAGAGCAAGAUAUAGACAGGAUGUCUGAUAAUUCUGGCAUUCUGGAAGAAGGAGGAUAAAUGGAGUCGCUUUCUCCUGGUUCUCCUCCAGACUUGCUGACUUCUCUCAUUUUUGGCUAUUGUUUCUUUUUUUUCUAAUUCCCUAAAUGUAGACAUACCCAAAGCUUAUCCUUGGCCAUCUCUUCCUCCAGUGCUGUGUUUCCUCCAUGGGGUAUUUCAUCCAUCUUGUGUCUCAGGAGGCAAGGCACCCUCUUCCCCCAAAAUAACCCUGUGGUUAUCUCAUCGACCUUCUUCAAGCAUGUGCCCAAUGCCCUAUUCUCGAUGAACCGCCUUUCUAAUUAGGUUUCUGAGUCGACGUCCAACUUAUUGAUUCCCAGUGCUGGGAUCUGAGCAACCCACUGUGGCAGCCUAAAUAGCAGUGAUAAGACUGAUGGUGCUCUUCUGCCCGGGAAUCUCUGGUCUGGCUUCCCUCUUGAGUCCGCAACAAGUGGCUCUGACUUCCCGGAGCUCCAAACUCCGGUCAGUAGGGGAAGCAGUCCCGUUGGCUCUGCAUGAAGAACUGCUGCGCCGAGACGCCUGCAAAACUGCUGCGGUGGCCAUAAGAGUCGCGCUGGCGACCCGUGGGGCUCCUCCACUGGGAAUCGGCUGAUUGGUGAGUGACGAAAAUUCGUCUAAAAGUGUGGCGUCGUCUCGUUCUCUGGGCUUUCACUGGGAGCUACAAUCCUGAGCUGUUAGUAGUCGGCCAUCUUGGAUCGAUCGAGGGCAGGAAUUUUUUUUUUAUCAUUUUAUUCUCAGUUGACUCCCAAGCACAUAAAUAGUACCAGACACAAAUUACUCAAUAAAUAUUUGUGGAAUGAAUACAUGGAUAAAUGAAUGAGAUUUCUUUUCAUUCUCAAUCCCCUUCUUAAGAGGAAGUUCUUCUGUAAGGCUACAUAAAGAAGCAAAAAAGAAAAAAAAAAAAAGGUCAAGCAUGGUGGCUUGUACCUGUAAUCCCAGCAUUUGGGAGAGCAAGGUAGGACGAUCACUUGAGCCCAGGAGUUCAAGACCAGCCUGAGCAACAUAGUGAGACCCCAUCUCUAUAAAAAACUUAAAAAUUGGCUGGAUGUGGUGCAUGUGCCUGUAGUCCCAGCUGCUCAGGAGGCUGAGGUAGCAGGAUCUUUUGAGCCCAGGAUUUCACGGUUGCAAUGUGCUAUGAUCAUGCCACUGCACUCCUGUAUCAGUGACAAAGUGAGACCCUGUUUCAAAAAAUAAGGAAGAAGAAGAAGGACGGGGAGGAGAAGGAGGAGGAAGAGGAAGGAGGAAGAAGAAGGAAGAAGAAGAAGAAAAAAAAGAAAGAUGAAGAAAGAAGGAGAAGAAGAAGGAGGAGGAGAAGAAACAACCUAGCAUGGUAACACAUCUAUAUUCAGCUGUGAGAUGGAUUUGGUGGUCAAAGUCAGCAAGAAGAGUUGUCUUAACAGAUACUCUGUUCUGAAGAAAAUGAAAGACUUAUUUUCUCCAGUGUCGAAAUGGAUCUGGAGUUGUGAUGACCUAGUUUGAAAACAGGAUACUGUUGGAAUACAGAGGAAUUCAUGAGGAAGCAGAUGGAAAGAAAUCAUGAAAGGAAGGAAAUUCCCAGAAGCUCAUCCAUGGGGGACUCAGCAUAGAUGAUAACAAUUGCUGACCGUUUAUUGAGAACUUAACAUGCACCAGGCACUCUUUUAAAUACUUUCUAAGGAUUAUCUCACACUGUAAUUAACCUUGUGAAAUAGGACCUACUAUUAUCCCCAUUUUCCAGAUGAGAAAAAUGAGGCAUGGCAAGUCAAUGUGCUCAAAGUCUUACAAUUACUAAUCCUAAAUUAUAAAUACUCUAGAAUUUGGGGAUUCAAAACCCUCAGCUCUUGAGCCUGUGCUCUUAAGUAUUAAGUUCCACUGCCUGAAAAAUAAAUAAACAAAAGUGUGAUUAAGUACUAGUGUCUGGACAUCUCUCUGGUAUUGGCUGAGCCUAUACAUGCUGUGCCAGUAACACGGUACUCCCUCACAACAUAGCAAAGCCAUCCUGCUUCCUAUGACAUCGAUACUUUCUGAAUGGUGUGGCAUUCAGCCUGAGACAGAUUUCCUACUGGCACAGACAAGACAAAAAUACUAACAUUUGGACUGUGUUUUAAAACCUAUGAAUAGAAAUAUUUUUAUUUGAUCCUCACAGAAAAUAUGUGAAGUAUUAUAAGCUGUCUCUCUUGAAGAAGGGAAAUCUAACACACAGCUAAUGAGCUGUGGUGUGGAGACCACAACCCCAGUCAUUUGGCCCAAGGUGCAUACUUUUUCCAUGACGCCAUGCUGCCAUCAACUACAGAAGGUUGUCUAGACCACUUCAACAUCUAGGAUCCCCAUUAGCCUAUUAAAAAUAGGAUAUCAUCUCUGUGUCAUUGAUCUUAAAGAAUGGUUGAUUAUAAUGCAACUAUGUUUAGGUCUUAAUUUUUGGGUUUCAGAUGCAAAGCUGGGGUAUAUAUCAAGGGUGUGUGUGUGUGUG
Callithrix jacchus (white-tufted-ear marmoset) is the source of this 5839-nucleotide non-coding RNA. The record is from RefSeq and is a predicted model, not a curated record. NCBI's taxonomy places the organism in Eukaryota, Metazoa, Chordata, Mammalia, Primates, Cebidae.